UGUCAUUUGGAACUCGCGUGUGAGAGGCGCCUGGACGCGCCGUGCUCUCCCUGCAGAAGUCCUCAGAGAUAUCAUAGGGCACUAUACUUCUGUAGCCUCGAUACUCCCCCCUUACUCUUAAACGCAGUUUCCUCUCAUCGAGUGCGAUCUAACACACUGGGAAAAUCAUCCAGUAAUACUCGGUGGAUAUUGGCCGUGCAGUGGAGUGGAGUUAGCCGUGAUGUGCAAGAAAAUGUCGGUCGAAAAGUUUGCACCAACUCACCGAGAAGAGAAACUGCCAGCAGACGGGAUGAGGUGCUGCAGUCAUCCUGCAGAGAGAAACACGGGUGGGUGGUUGGAAGGCUGGAUAAAGGCUGGUAGAUGACUGAACUCUGAGACCCAGCGCAGCUCAUCAUCAUUGCCAUGGGCUCUCGUCUUCCUCCUCUCCUCCUCUGGCCCGUACCUCCAUCCGAGGGUCCAGCACAGCCAGUGAAGCCCAGGCGGGGGGCUAGUGAGUGGGCUGGGAAGGAUGGAGAAGGUCCCUGAGGGCUCGAAGCACCGCUGGAGCUACCGUCAUGCAGGAGAAAUCAAUAUGAAACACAGAGCCUGCACAUCUCUGAGUGGGGUUUCCUGUGUUAGACUGUGGCCUAGGGGCCCACAGACCUCCAAAGGACAGGCCCUGCUUGCCCCUCUCAGCUGCAGCCCUGGCACCUAAGACUGGACCUCAAGUCCCGAUCUCCAUUGGCUGUGUGUGGUUCGGCUGAAGGGGAUCUCUCCCCAAAUAAUACCCAAUACCCAGAAUGCUGAAAGACCGCCAAGAGGGAUAUUUCUUUCUCUUGAUUUUUUUUCCUUCAUAAGAUUGACAUAUCCCCCAUUCUCUGCCUCUGGCUGUUUCAAAAACAGUUUGGGAGUUCUGCUUUGACUCACUCUCCAUCCUCCACUCGCCUGCUGUUUAUUCCCCAACAAGUUUUUUUACAUUUGAAAAAGAGACAGAACUGUCUUUAUUUCCUCUUCCUCUCAUGGUUUGCUGUUGCUAUGGUGAGCCGCAGUCAUGUGUCUGUCUGUUCAAACCAGAAACAUUGGCACAUGAAGUAUGUGCACCUUUCUUUUCUCCAUCAUGUCUUUUAUUCAAUUUCAGACAGACAAAAAAAAACUGAACAGCAAAGAGCGCUGAAGAUCACAGAGCAGAUGAACCUUCCCACCUCUCAGUGGAAAUGGUAAAAU
This is a long non-coding RNA of Scophthalmus maximus (turbot), 1203 nucleotides long. RefSeq lists it as uncharacterized. The transcript is spliced from 3 exons. NCBI's taxonomy places the organism in Eukaryota, Metazoa, Chordata, Actinopteri, Pleuronectiformes, Scophthalmidae. The record is from RefSeq and is a predicted model, not a curated record.